Molecule: ribosomal RNA, 677 nt
Filed under: Leptodactylus diedrus
Lineage: Eukaryota; Metazoa; Chordata; Amphibia; Anura; Leptodactylidae
Description: partial 16S ribosomal RNA
Rfam family: Bacterial large subunit ribosomal RNA
Source: RNAcentral
AUAAGAGGUCCAGCCUGCCCAGUGACUCUGUUCAACGGCCGCGGUAUCCUAACCGUGCGAAGGUAGCGUAAUCACUUGUUCUCUAAAUAAGGACUAGUAUGAAUGGCACCACGAGGGUUAUACUGUCUCCUUCCUCCAAUCAGUGAAACUAAUCCCCCCGUGAAGAAGCGAGGAUAAACCUAUAAGACGAGAAGACCCUAUGGAGCUUUAAACACAGUAACAACUGCCCACACCCCCUUCCUGGGGGUUAAGUAUUUGGGCUCCUUGAUUACAAGUUUUAGGUUGGGGUGACCACGGAGCAAAAAACAACCUCCGCAGUGAAUAGGGCCUUUUUUCCCUAAACCCAGGACUACAACCCUAAGAUUCAACAAAUUGACACCCAUUGACCCAGUUUCUGAUCAAUGAACCAAGUUACCCUAGGGAUAACAGCGCAAUCCACUUCAAGAGCUCCUAUCGACAAGUGGGUUUACGACCUCGAUGUUGGAUCAGGGCAUCCUAGUGGUGUAGCCGCUACUAAAGGUUCGUUUGUUCAACGAUUAAAACCCUACGUGAUCUGAGUUCAGACCGGAGUAAUCCAGGUCAGUUUCUAUCUAUAAAGAGUUUUCUCCAGUACGAAAGGACCGAAAAAACAUGGCCAAUGCCCCCAGUAAGCCAUAACAACCUAUUUAUGACACAAU